ACGUUACCUGCAGAAGAAGCACCGGCUAACUCCGUGCCAGCAGCUGCGGUAAUACGGAGGGUGCAAGCGUUAAUCGGAAUUACUGGGCGUAAAGCGCGCGUAGGCGGUCGGAUAAGUUGGAUGUGAAAGCCCUGGGCUCAACCUGGGAAUUGCAUUCGAUACUGUCUGGCUAGAGUUUGGUAGAGGGUGGUGGAAUUCCCGGUGUAGCGGUGAAAUGCGUAAAUAUCGGGAGGAACAUCAGUGGCGAAGGCGACCACCUGGACCAAAACUGACGCUUAGGUGCGAAAGCGUGGGGAGCAUACAGGAUUAGAUACCCUGGUAGUCCACGCCGUAAACCAUGAGAACUAGCCGUCGGGUUCAUUAUGAGCUUGGUGGCACAGCUAACGCGUUAAGUUCUCCGCCUGGGGAGUACGGCCGCCAGGUUAAAACUCAAAGGAAUUGAC
RNAcentral lists this ribosomal RNA (443 nucleotides) under uncultured Gammaproteobacteria bacterium. RNAcentral describes it as "bacterial SSU rRNA". It matches the Rfam family "Bacterial small subunit ribosomal RNA", at positions 472 to 914 of the family's 1533-position model. Lineage: Bacteria; Pseudomonadati; Pseudomonadota; Gammaproteobacteria. The record is from RNAcentral.